RNAcentral lists this unclassified non-coding RNA (149 nucleotides) under Sipha flava (yellow sugarcane aphid). Its description in RNAcentral is "uncharacterized LOC112686776, transcript variant X2". The record is from RNAcentral. Lineage: Eukaryota; Metazoa; Arthropoda; Insecta; Hemiptera; Aphididae.
GUGUGCAUGUACUUAAGUUAUAAUUUUUCUUUUUGAAACCUAAAGUAUGGACAUUUUUGCAGAAGCGAGUUGUAGUCGUGAUUUUAGAAAUCAGAAUUUCACUUACAAUGAUUUAUUUAAUUUAUUACAAGGAAACGGACCACUAAAUC